Molecule: long non-coding RNA, 742 nt
Organism: Nematostella vectensis (starlet sea anemone)
Lineage: Eukaryota; Metazoa; Cnidaria; Anthozoa; Actiniaria; Edwardsiidae
Exons: 2
Source: RefSeq, a predicted model, not a curated record
GAUUGCCUGUAAUGUCAUCUCUAUAUCUUUGCUUUGAACACCCUGCGUGCGGAAAAUUUGCUGUUACACCCAAAAAGAGCCAUAUUGUUAUAACAGUACUGUAUAAUUGUUUUCAUUGCUCAUGGCAAUUAAUAUUUUAUUUACGUAAUUGCAAAGAAAGCAAUAUGAUCUAUUUAUGCCAUCAUAUUGUUUAUAGCAUUUUAACUUAGGUUGAUUCUUGAACACGGAACGAAGCAAACUAUUAUUAGCCUGCGAGGUGGAAAGUCUGCAAGGCUGUCAUCGGCGCAUAGUAAUCUGUUAUAUAAAUUAAACAAAAAUAAGAGAUAACAGAUUACUUACCUUGCUUCGAAAACUGAUAGUUUUGAAUUUUAGACCACGAAAAAUUAUGAAAUCCGUAUCGAAUGCGCCGGUGACAGCCCGCACUAUAAGUUGUUUGCUUCGCUUAGUGUUCAGCCGAGCGUACCUAAUUGUCCAACGGCGCCGGUCAAGGAUUCAAAUCGCUGCUUACUCGUUUUAAAAAAUGGCUAGCGGCCAGGGAAAAUGAUUUAGCUCGGAUGUUUUGCCACAUAUCGAAUAAUAACAGCCGAUUCCAAGCUACGAACAAGUUUCAAAACCAUUGCCUGGGCUACCUGUGGUCAUAGAAGCCAAGGUUGGUUCUCACUAGAGGAAGAGUCAGAAUUGGUCAGGCGCAAGAAAUCAAGCAGUUGCGUUCUUUUGCGCUUGCGUUACAGCUACAGUUACA